AAACCAGCACCUCAAGUGGUCAGGAUGAUUAUUGGGCCUAAAGCAUCCGUAGCCUGUUCUGUAAGUUUCCGGUUAAAUCCAUUAGCUCAACUAAUGGGCCGCCGAAAAUACUGCAAAACUAGGGAGUGGGAGAGGUAGACGGUACUCGGUAGGAAGGGGUAAAAUCCUUUGAUCUAUUGAUGACCACCUGUGGCGAAGGCGGUCUACCAGAACACGUUCGACGGUGAGGGAUGAAAGCUGGGGGAGCAAACCGGAUUAGAUACCCGAGUAGUCC
This 274-nucleotide ribosomal RNA is filed under the name uncultured bacterium. RNAcentral's name for it is "partial 16S ribosomal RNA". It matches the Rfam family "Archaeal small subunit ribosomal RNA", at positions 473 to 747 of the family's 1478-position model. The record is from RNAcentral.